Cyprinus carpio (common carp) is the source of this 1391-nucleotide long non-coding RNA. Lineage: Eukaryota; Metazoa; Chordata; Actinopteri; Cypriniformes; Cyprinidae. The record is from Ensembl.
CCUCAGAUUCAACUCCUAAAUGCUAUAACACCUCCAACCCUGAUCUCAGCUCCACCGCCUGGUUCGCAGACUACAUCUCCGUCUUCUUGAGCUUCGUCACACUGGACGACCUCCUCCAGUUUGGCUCCAUUCAGGUGUGUCAACUCACAACUUGAAGAGAUCUCAGAUCUGUUUUCUGUCGUCUGAAUCCGAUCACUCUUAACGGAAUAGUCCAUCUUCACUCUAAUGUCGUUCCAAACUCAACGUGUUUGUUUUUCAGCCGUUCCUCGUGAACCUGGAGAACCUGCAGCUCUUCGGUCAGACCAGCGUUCCUGAUGAUGUCAUGGAGUACUACGUGACCCUGCUGUUCGAGGCGAAUCCGUCCUUCAGCGCCUACUAGUGAGAGACACCAACAACACUCUCAAUAACCAAUCUCACACUGAAAAUAAAGCUUCCCAAAGCAGGUUUUCACAGUGAUGCCAUUUAAAAGAACCAUUUGGGUUUCCCAAAGAACCUUUCAGUUAACAGUUCUUAAUAGAACCAUCGUUUCUUAGUACAAAGAAUAUUUUAAGAACAUUUUUUCCAUUUUAAAGAAUCUUUUGUGCGAUGAAAAAGAUUCCAUAAAUGUGAAAGGUUCUUCAUGGAAUGGAUAAUAUCAAUAAAGAAGCUUAAUUUUUAAUAGUGUACAUGAAAAGUCAUUUAAAUCCAGCUAAGCCACUCUCAUCAAAUGAAGGCUUGUUCAAAUCUCACAUAACACAUUUAUUAACAAUACUAUCAUUUGAAAAAUCCCCCCUGAGAAGGUUGGUCUGGUUUGAUGGUUUUGGCCACUUGUCUGUUGGACCAUCUUAACUAUAGAUCAGUUUAGACCAGCAAACCAACCAAGGCUGCUUAAUGUGUGCUUGUGUUCACAGUCUUCCUCUGAAGUUCCUCUGCUUGGCUCCUGCGAGCUCCUUCCUUCAGCUGAGUCUGGAGCAGCUGAAGAACAUCUCAUACAGCGUCCAUCAGAACUGCACAGAUGUUCUACCUGAUGUGUCGGCGGCUCUGGCCAGUAACGCAGGGGAUCUGACGGUGAGCGCCAUCGAGGCUCUGGGUCAGUCGUCCACGGGUUUGAGCACGGCUCAGAUCAGCGGCGCUGGAGGGAACUUGCUGCUCAACACGCUCUCCGUGCUCAGUCUCGUUCAGGGCUGGAACCUCGAUCAGGCCAUGAUGAUCAUCCAAACCCUGCUGUCGUCUGGAGCUUACCAGGUACACACCACCAAUACCUCUCAAAGCCUUACGUGUCUCUGACUGAUGUUUCAUUCCAUACACGAAUGGGUUCAAUCAAAGAUUCAUUGACUCACAUAUAAAGACUGUUACUUGUUUAAUUCCUGAAUGGAUCAGGGUUGUUGAAUAAACCGUGAUUCAGUGACUCA